GGGACAGCGAGACGCACGAGGAUGGGAGUAAAGGCCUGGGUCCCAGGUCCUUCCGCGAUGGGCGUCACGACUCUGGCGACCUUGGGUGUCCUCGGGAGCCGUCUCUUUCCUGUGUGGCCAGUUAAUGACUUUGCCUAUUGUCAUCCUAAGAAUGGAAGCAAGCACAGGCACGGGGCGGGUGUGGAGGACCUGUAAAGCCUGGUUUGUGUCACGUUUUGUGAAACAUUGGACAGUUGCACAAGGGAUGUAACAAUGGCUGGUGUCAAAAGUACAGAUGAUUCAUAAUUAUGCCUGGGGGAGGCACCCCCACCAAAAGGCCUUGAUGCUCAUUUUGCAAUGAAAAAGCUGACCAGGAAGUGGGCCCGGAAGCCCAGGAAAUGAGACAGAAUGGGCAAUGCUUCUAGAUGGAUCGAAGACAGUGACAGCUUCCGGAUGUCUUCAUAUCGAGUAGGACAAGAAGCUUAUUUCUUGCACCAUCGCAGCGCUUACAUCACCACGCAGGAAAUGCUGGGAUGUUCUCCACCCUGGACGGGGACCACUCACACUUCGCACACCUAUCCGCCCUCUCCUCAUUCCGGAACCAGCUCCCGCGUUGGAAAAGAUACAUCCUCAUCCAGGAAGAGAAAGUCAAGGCUGCCCAGGAAAAUGUGCAAUGUCUUAGCUCAGAUUUCAGUUUCUAGAAACUUCAUCUCCUAUGCCAUGCCCUGUGGAGCGGCAUAAAGAAAGCCAGCCUCAGUAGCGUGGGUGCUCCAGAGAGUUUGUUCUCCCAGAUCCAAGCCCAGUGGCCGGAAGGCCCUGCAUGCCCGGAGCACUAAGGGCAUCCUGAGUGGGAGCUGCUUUGAGCUUCCUGCAGUCUCAUCUUCUUCCUGUGGUUUUGAUCCUUCCAGUGCAAGGUCACUCACUGAUCGACCUCUAGGCACCCACCUUCUGGGUGAGAAGAGGAGGGGCUGCAAACACUGCUCCCUGACUUUCAGCAAAGCGAAUGUUGCUGGGAAACUGCAGGCGACUGAUUUCAGCUCACAGCCCGCUGCUUACACCGGGUGUUGGCCGCCCAGAAGGAUUAAGGUCACAGGCCGUGGGCAGCAGCUGGGCUCGGUGGGCAGUGGCGAGGUGAUAAGCACAUCUCAGUUGCACCCAGCAUGCCUGGCCCAGAGGCAAGCAAGGUCACCAGACACUCCCCUCCCCCUCUCAGCCCACAAUCCAUCUCCCGGGCCUGUGCUCACCCUGGAGCCUGACCCUGAGGUGGAACCCUUCAGGCUCUGCCAUCAACAAGAAGAGGCUUGGGGCAGCACCACGGGAGGGUGCGGAGCUGGGCACGCCACCUCUCCUGAGCCUUUCCACCCCAGUUUUACGGUAAAUGUUUCAUCAAGGUGUUCCUUUUAUGGCUGUUAAAAAACCUAGGAGGCACCAAAUGCCUGCCCGUGGUAAAAAUGGACCCAUGAGGUGGAGCGUGCUUACGCAAUAGUAAACUGGGAAGCAAUGGGAAUAAAACAUUUACAACCACAGACAAAAAUCUGGACGAGCUACGCCAAUAUAAUAUUGAGCAAAAGAAGCCAAACACAAAAUAAUACACUGUGAUUUUACUUACAUAAGUUUAUUAUAUUUCUGUAAUACGGAAAUCAAUUUAUAGAGUUUGUAAAUGGACAAAACUAAUGUAUGGUGAUAGGAGUCACGAGAGCCACUCUACCUAGGGGAGGGUGGUGACUGCCAGGGGAAUCGACCGGGUUUCCUAGGGACCUGGUCACCUUCGGGUGCUCCAUCUUGAUUCUGGUACCAGGGUGUGUUCUGCUUCGCCAAAAUCCACCGGAGUUUAGGGCACUUAUCGUACACUAUUUCUGUAUCCUUCAAAAAAAAGCUAAUUGCAAAUAUUGCUGAAAAGGCGUCUGCGGCAGAACUGCUGAUGGUUUAUCCAACAUCCCCACUUGUUCCCCUUUUUUGGUAAGAGUCCCACUUUAAUUCACACAGUCCUCUACGUUUAAAGGGAGAUUCCGUUGUCAGUGUGAGAAGAUAAAUCCUGAUUGGUCCAAAUCCACCACGUUUGGGCCAUCCCUCAGGCUAUGAUUGGUUUAGCAAAGGGCAUGUGACCCAAUUCUGGCCAAUGAGAAUGAAGAAAAUUCUGCCGGGGUGGUUCUUGAAAUGUGUCCUCCUCCUCAGAGAGAGGCCCACUAGAGCCAGUGGUCUUCGUGACGGCACAUGGAAGAACCAAGAGGAGCAGCGGGAAGUGGAACUGGAGCCCCAUUACCCUGUGCGGGAAGCUGCCCUCGCCUGGAUUUCUUGGGCUGUGAGGUAAAACUUUACUAUUGGGAACAAUGUAGCAUUUUGGGAAAGUGCUCAAAGCUGCCGCUUAGCAAGAGUUCUGCUUGAUUUCCUCCUCCUCCUCCUAUUCCUCCUCUUCCGCUUCCUGUUCCAACGUGGAAUUACCUGGUCACCCGGAGUCAGGCGGUGCGCUCUGCCCCUUUUUGUACCCUAGCGCCUGCCUUCCUGUUGCCGCUGUCACAGCCCGCUGGGUGGUAAUGGCCAGAUGGUGACCACCGAGGUCAGGAGGCAGCGCCUUGAUGGGGCCCUGUCCUUGUGUCUCCCAAGACUGCGAGUGGCGGGAACCAGGGGAAAGAUAUCGAUGCCAGUUAUUGUUAGGUUGUCUUAUUAGGGUUUUUCUCUCACACCACUGACCGUUUACCUAACAGUCAUUGCCUUCCUUCUUUCCCCUUCCUUCCUUCCUUCCUUCCUUCCUUCCUUCCUUCCUUCCUUUAGAAAUGGGCGUCUCAGUAUGUUGUCUAGACUGGCCUCGAACUCCUGGGUGCAAGUGACCCUCUUGCCUGUAGCCGGGACUGCAGGUACAUCCCACUGUGCCAUUUCUCUCCCUCCUUUCCUUGUUGAAAAAAGACAACUUGUUCUCUUGUUAGGGAAGUACCAGAAACUCAUUUUCCAGCUUCUUUUGAAGCUAGAGCUCGGGCACUGAGACCCAAGGAUAAGUUGAGGGAGGAUAAUUCUAAGAGAGACUUUUUUUCCUAAAGAACCCUGCCAUGAGCACCUCUCCUUUCUGUCUCUGUCAUGAUGUGUGAGGAUGUGAUGGCUGGAGCCAUGGCAGCCACUUUACAGAGAUGAGAUUACAAGCCUUGAAGGAGAAAUCUAAUGUGUUUUUUCCCCUCAGCUAAAAUAUAAACCCAGUAAAGGCAGGGACUGUAGACUCUGGUUUGUUAAUUACUCUACUCCAGGUGUUUAUAAUGUAACGGAGGUGCUCAGAGUUGAGUAAAUGGAUGAAUGGAUGGAUGCAAAGGGCCAUCAUUUAUGACCCACA
This is a non-coding RNA of Heterocephalus glaber (naked mole-rat), 3298 nucleotides long. NCBI's taxonomy places the organism in Eukaryota, Metazoa, Chordata, Mammalia, Rodentia, Bathyergidae. The record is from RefSeq and is a predicted model, not a curated record.